GAUGAACGCUGGCGGCGUGCCUAACACAUGCAAGUCGAACGGAGUCCAGCCUUUAAGACCUUCGGGUCAAAGAGGGGAAGACUGAGUGGCGGACGGGUGAGUAACACGUGGGCAACCUGGCUCAUAGAGGGGGAUAACAGAGAGAAAUUUCUGCUAAUACCGCAUAAGCACACACUGCCGCAUGGCAGAGGGUGAAAAGAGAAUCGCUAUGAGAUGGACCCGCGUCUGAUUAGCCAGUUGGCAGGGUAAGAGCCUACCAAAGCGACGAUCAGUAGCCGAUCGGAGAGGAUGACCGGCCACAUUGGGACUGAGACACGGCCCAAACUCCUACGGGAGGCAGCAGUGGGGGAUAUUGCAAAAUGGGGGGAACCCUGAUGCAGCGACGCCGCGUGAGUGAAGAAGUAUUUCGGUAUGUAAAGCUCUAUCAGCAGGGAAGAUAAUGACAGUACCUGAAUAAGAAGCCCCGGCUAACUACGUG
Molecule: ribosomal RNA, 478 nt
Filed under: uncultured bacterium
Lineage: Bacteria
Description: partial 16S ribosomal RNA
Rfam family: Bacterial small subunit ribosomal RNA
Source: RNAcentral